GAUGCCGCACGCCGCGUGAGGGAAGACGGCCUUCGGGUUGUAAACCUCUUUUAGCAGGGAAGAAGCGAGAGUGACGGUACCUGCAGAAAAAGCGCCGGCUAACUACGUGCCAGCAGCCGCG
RNAcentral lists this ribosomal RNA (121 nucleotides) under uncultured Microbacterium sp. RNAcentral describes it as "partial 16S ribosomal RNA". It matches the Rfam family "Bacterial small subunit ribosomal RNA", at positions 385 to 519 of the family's 1533-position model. Lineage: Bacteria; Bacillati; Actinomycetota; Actinomycetes; Micrococcales; Microbacteriaceae. The record is from RNAcentral.